Molecule: ribosomal RNA, 408 nt
Filed under: uncultured bacterium
Lineage: Bacteria
Description: partial 16S ribosomal RNA
Rfam family: Bacterial small subunit ribosomal RNA
Source: RNAcentral
GACGAACGCUGGCGGCGUGCUUAACACAUGCAAGUCGAACGAAGUGGCGAACGGGUGAGUAAUACGUGGGUAACCUGCCCUCCUUUUUGGGAUAAGCCUUGGAAACGGGGUCUAAUACCGAAUAAAGGGGGAUGGGCUCGCGGCCUAUCAGCUUGUUGGUGGGGUGAUGGCCUACCAAGGCGGUGACGGGUAGCCGGCCUGAGCGGGUGAACGGCGACAUUGGGACUGAGUAACGGCCCAGGGUACGACGGGGGGCGGAAGUGGGGGAUAUGGCAGAAUGGGUGAAGGAGUGAUGCAGCGUCGCCGCGUAGGGGAUGUAGGCUUUCGGGUUGUAUAACUCUGUCGGAAUCUAAGGGGUAGGUGGAGAAGAAGCGCCGGCUAACUACGUGCCAGCAGCCGCGGUAAUAC